AAAUUGAAGAGUUUGAUCAUGGCUCAGAUUGAACGCUGGCGGCAGGCCUAACACAUGCAAGUCGAACGGUAGCACAGAGAGCUUGCUCUCGGGUGACGAGUGGCGGACGGGUGAGUAAUGUCUGGGAAACUGCCUGAUGGAGGGGGAUAACUACUGGAAACGGUGGCUAAUACCGCAUAACGUCGCAAGACCAAAGAGGGGGACCUUCGGGCCUCUUGCCAUCAGAUGUGCCCAGAUGGG
RNAcentral lists this ribosomal RNA (240 nucleotides) under Salmonella enterica subsp. enterica serovar Infantis. RNAcentral's name for it is "partial 16S ribosomal RNA". It matches the Rfam family "Bacterial small subunit ribosomal RNA", at positions 1 to 239 of the family's 1533-position model. Lineage: Bacteria; Pseudomonadati; Pseudomonadota; Gammaproteobacteria; Enterobacterales; Enterobacteriaceae. RNAcentral also lists the same sequence under 6 other names. The record is from RNAcentral.